This 241-nucleotide RNase P RNA is filed under the name Pseudomonadota bacterium. RNAcentral describes it as "Proteobacteria bacterium partial RNase P RNA component class A". It matches the Rfam family "Bacterial RNase P class A", at positions 144 to 367 of the family's 367-position model. From Rfam's summary of the family: Ribonuclease P (RNase P) is a ubiquitous endoribonuclease, found in archaea, bacteria and eukarya as well as chloroplasts and mitochondria. Its best characterised activity is the generation of mature 5'-ends of tRNAs by cleaving the 5'-leader elements of precursor-tRNAs. The record is from RNAcentral. Lineage: Bacteria; Pseudomonadati; Pseudomonadota.
GACGGCAAGGGUGAAAUGGUGAGGUAAGAGCUCACCGCGGACGUGGCGACACGGCCGGCACGCCAAACCCCAUCCGGAGCAACAUCGAAUAGGCACGCGCGCGGCUUUCGGGCCGCGCAGGGCGGCCCGCCCGAGCGUGCGGGUAGAUGGCUCGAGCGGCCGGGCAACCGGUCGCCCAGACGAAUGAUCGUCACGCCGGUGUUCCGGCGCACAGAAUCCGGCCUACAGGCCCGCUCCACUU